This 497-nucleotide ribosomal RNA is filed under the name uncultured bacterium. Its description in RNAcentral is "partial 16S ribosomal RNA". It matches the Rfam family "Bacterial small subunit ribosomal RNA", at positions 28 to 507 of the family's 1533-position model. The record is from RNAcentral.
GAUGAACGCUGGCGGCGUGCCUAAUACAUGCAAGUCGAGCGAACAGACGAUGAUCUUGUUCCUCUGACGUUAGCCGCGGACGGGUGUGUAACACGUGUAUAACCUACUUAUAUGUCUGGGAUCAUUUCGGGAAACCGGCGCUAAUACCGUAUAAUAUAUUGAUCCGUAUGGUUCAAUAGUGAAAGACGGCUUUGCUGUCACUUAUCGCUGGAUCCCCGCUGCAUUAGCUGGUUGGUAAGGUAACGGCCUUCUAAGGGAACGAUGCGUAGCCGAAUUGAUAGAGUGAUAGGCCGCACGGGAGGUGAGCCACGGUCAAGGCUCCUAAGGGAGGCAGCAGUAGCGAAUGGGAGGCAAUGGGCGAGAGCAUGACGGAGCAACGCCGAGUGAGAGAUGGAGGUCUUCGGAUCGGAAAAAUCUGUUAUUGGGGAAGAACAGAUGUGGAAGUAACUAUACACGUAUUGACGGUACCGAAUAAGAAAGCAACGGCUAACUACGUG